GACGAACGCUGGCGGCGUGCUUAACACAUGCAAGUCGGGCGGUAAGGCCCUUUCGGGGGUACGACGAGCGGCGAACGGGUGAGUAACACGUGGGUGACCUGCCCUCCAGCUCCGGGAUAAGCCUGGGAAACUAGGGUCUAAUACUGGAUAUGACUCCACGGUGCAUGUCGUGGGGUGGAAAGCCUUGUGCGGCUGAGGAUGGGCCCGCGGCCUAUCAGCUUGUUGGUGGGGUGAUGGCCUACCAAGGCGACGACGGGUAGCCGGCCUGAGAGGGCGACCGGCCACACUGGGACUGAGACACGGCCCAGACUCCUACGGGAGGCAGCAGUGGGGAAUCUUGCGCAAUGGGCGAAAGCCUGACGCAGCGACGCCGCGUGAGGGAUGACGGCCU
RNAcentral lists this ribosomal RNA (391 nucleotides) under uncultured bacterium. Its description in RNAcentral is "bacterial SSU rRNA". It matches the Rfam family "Bacterial small subunit ribosomal RNA", at positions 28 to 417 of the family's 1533-position model. The record is from RNAcentral.